AAUCAACGCUGGCGGCGUGCCUCAGACAUGCAAGUCGAACGAUUAAAGCUCUCUUCGGAGAGUGCAUAGAGUGGCGCACGGGUGAGUAACACGUAAGUAAUCUACCUUCGAGUGGGGAAUAACGUCCGGAAACGGGCGCUAAUACCGCAUAAUGCAGCGGCAUCGCAAGAUGACAGUUGUUAAAGGAGCAAUCCGCUUGAAGAGGAGCUUGCGGCAGAUUAGCUAGUUGGUAGGGUAAUGGCCUACCAAGGCUACGAUCUGUAACCGGUCUUAGAGGACGGUCGGUCACACUGACACUGAAUAACGGGUCAGACUCCUACGGGAGGCAGCAGUCGGGAAUUUUGGGCAAUGGGGGAAACCCUGACCCAGCAACGCCGCGUGAAGGAUGAAGUAUUUCGGUAUGUAAACUUCGAAAGAAUAGGAAGAAUUAAUGACGGUACUAUUUAUAAGGUCCGGCUAACUACGUGCCAGCAGCCGCGGUAAAGUAGACGUCUG
Molecule: ribosomal RNA, 495 nt
Filed under: uncultured bacterium
Lineage: Bacteria
Description: bacterial SSU rRNA
Rfam family: Bacterial small subunit ribosomal RNA
Source: RNAcentral